Molecule: ribosomal RNA, 305 nt
Filed under: uncultured bacterium
Lineage: Bacteria
Description: bacterial SSU rRNA
Rfam family: Bacterial small subunit ribosomal RNA
Source: RNAcentral
CCCUACGGGACGCAGCAGUCGGGAAUAUUGCGCAAUGGAGGAAACUCUGAUGCAGUGACGCCGCGUAUAGGAAGAAGGUUUUCGGAUUGUAAACUAUUGUCGUUAGGGAAGAUAAAAGACAGUACCUAAGGAGGAAGCUCCGGCUAACUACGUGCCAGCAGCCGCGGUAAUACGUAGGGAGCAAGCGUUAUCCGGAUUUAUUGGGUUUAAAGGGUGCGCAGGCGGCACGGCAAGCCGGCGGUCAAAUCGCGGGGCUCAACCCCGCCCAGCCGUCGGAACUGCCGGGCUAGAGUGGGCGAGAAGUG